UGACUAGAUUUUCACUCGUUCA
Molecule: microRNA, 22 nt
Filed under: Blattella germanica (German cockroach)
Lineage: Eukaryota; Metazoa; Arthropoda; Insecta; Blattodea; Blattellidae
Source: RNAcentral